CCAUUCUCACUCCAAAGGCGUCAAAAACCGAAGCAUGGUCAAGCGCCCCUAGCGUCACUUUUAUGACGCCAAAUGUGCCUCUCGGCGUCGACUAUCGAAGCACUACGACCUUCAUUGCUUUCAGUGGGAAACUUUUGGCGUCAGAAUUCGACACGAGGACAUGAGAUGUUUAUCGCUAUGAAAUCACGUUCAAGAAGUCUCAUUCAGCAUACAUCGCGCGAUACUUGCUAUCAGUUCCACAGUUUGGCUGAAAAGACGUAAAGGCAGUCAGCCCAGUGGUGUUUCUGGAGAGGGAUUCCUUCAGAAAUGGAGAAGACAGAAAGCUGCGGAGGCAGAUAUUUGCAGCAUGUUCGAGUGAGCAUGAUGACCACGAGUGUGUGUCGAACUUUUCAUGACCUGAUGACUGUGUUUCCCAAUCCUGAUCCUGGAGAACCCCAGCACUGCACGGUUUUGGCAUCUCUCUUAUCUGCCUUGGAGUCUUCACUGAUGAGCUGAUGAGUUGAAUCAGGUGUGUUUGAUCAGGGAGACAUCUCAAAUGUGCAGUGUUGGGGUUCUCCAGGACCAGGAUUGGGAGCCACUGCCUUAUGGGACACUUAUGUGUUUAAAGAGAUUUUUAAUAUCUAAUUAUCAAUAUUUCACAUACUGUACAUUGGACAGCUUUCCAUGACCUCUUGUGAGAUCUCGGCAAAAAGUCUGACGAUUUAUUCCAAAACAUGAUGCAUGAUGGGAUACACUAAGCUUUGUAUAGCGCUCCAGAGCAGUAUUGGAGAGGUUUAGUGUGUGUUAAGGACGCUGUGCUUUGGCAUUAUUAAG
Long non-coding RNA from Carassius gibelio (silver crucian carp), 813 nucleotides. RefSeq lists it as uncharacterized. The transcript is spliced from 3 exons. Lineage: Eukaryota; Metazoa; Chordata; Actinopteri; Cypriniformes; Cyprinidae. The record is from RefSeq and is a predicted model, not a curated record.